GUCGCUAGACUAGUCACGUGAUCGACAUUGUCUUAAUUUUUUCUCAUCGAGUGUUCGGUUGAGCGAAACGAAUAUUUGUGGUAUUUCCACGCGUAAAAGUGUUUUGUUUCGAUUAAUUUAUGUUUGUUUUUUAAGUAUUUGAUAUUCAUAUAGAUGCCGGGAUUGAAAUAAGAGCAGGAAAUCUUUUGAGGAAGUGGAGUGACAGCAGCCCCGCUGUAAAUCAAGAUGGCAGGUCUGUCUUUGUAUUUUGAAGAUGGUCAUGAUGAUUUAGAUGACUUUGGAUUCGAUGAC
Long non-coding RNA from Sinocyclocheilus anshuiensis, 291 nucleotides. RefSeq lists it as uncharacterized. NCBI's taxonomy places the organism in Eukaryota, Metazoa, Chordata, Actinopteri, Cypriniformes, Cyprinidae. The transcript is spliced from 3 exons. The record is from RefSeq and is a predicted model, not a curated record.